RNAcentral lists this ribosomal RNA (497 nucleotides) under uncultured bacterium. RNAcentral's name for it is "partial 16S ribosomal RNA". It matches the Rfam family "Bacterial small subunit ribosomal RNA", at positions 28 to 507 of the family's 1533-position model. The record is from RNAcentral.
GAUGAACGCUGGCGGCGUGCCUAAUACAUGCAAGUCGAGCGAACAGACGAGGAGCUUGCUCCUCUGACGUUAGCGGCGGACGGGUGAGUUACACGUGGAUAACCCACCUAUAAGACUGUGAUAACUUCGGGAAACCGGUGCUAAUACCGGAUAAUAUAUGAAACAGCAUGGGUCAAUAGUGAAAGACGGUUUUGCUGUCACUUAUAGAUGGAUCCGCGCCGGAUUAGCUAGUUGGCAAGGUAACGGCCUACCAAGGCAACGAUGAGUAGCCGACCUGAGAGGGUGAUCAGCCACACUGGGACUGAGACACGGUCCAGACUCCUACGGGAGGCAGCAGUAGGGAAUCUUCCGCAAUGGGCGAAAGCCUGACGGAGCAACGCCGCGUGAGUGAUGAAGGUCUUCGGAUCGUAAAACUCUGUUAUUAGGGAAGAACAAAUGUGUAAGUAACUAUGCACGUCUUGACGGUACCUAAUCAGAAAGCCACGGCUAACUACGUG